Orcinus orca (killer whale) is the source of this 1117-nucleotide long non-coding RNA. RefSeq lists it as uncharacterized. The transcript is spliced from 6 exons. The record is from RefSeq and is a predicted model, not a curated record. Lineage: Eukaryota; Metazoa; Chordata; Mammalia; Artiodactyla; Delphinidae.
AGUUUCUUUUCUCCCAUGCUACAUGUUCAUUGUAUGUUGGCUUCAGCUCUGAUCUGUAUCAUCUUCCCUCUGUGACCCAAGCAGGAAGGGAAGAGCAUCUGUCCGAAAUAUUUUGGCAGUCAUUGAGUCAGAAGACAUCUCUCUGGAAGUGACCAUCACUGUUACUCCACUCCAAUUUUAUUGGCCAAAGAAAGUCACAUAAUCUGAGUUCAAAAUGUCAGGAAAAUCAAAAGCAGGUCUCCUUUACAUGGCAAGGGAAGCAAUCGACCUCUGUUGAGAGAUGUAUUGCAGCAAAAGAGCCUCUGUUUUCUAGUGAACCUGGACCAAGACACAGGGCUUCUUGGAAAAAUGACUGAUUACUGGUCUGCAGAAAGAAAUGCACGUGAUGAGUCUGGGACAUCUUAUUGUGCGAGACACUAAUGGUGUCAUGUCAAAAGGACACAGGAGCAAAUUUGAAGGGGCUCCAACUGGCCAAAGCCCCCAGAAAACUGUGGGUAAUUUGAGGACUGGCUCCACCUGUAACGGGCCUGUCGACUCCGGCGCCAGCGAGAAAAAGGAGCCGGAGCGUCACGAGCUGAAAUCGGCUCCCGGGGGUUCCGAUGAAGGGGUGUUUCUGGGCAAACCCCGAGACCAACAGAAGCCGAGGAGAGCUUCACCGAAAGGUCCAGAGGCGGGCUGCUACCCACUGCGGGAGACGGUCCUCAGCCCUCGCCGAACGCUUCCCGCCAGACGGCCGGGGAGGAACCUCCUGCGCCAUGACUUCACCGCGCUCCGCCGGCCGCCGGGGCCCCCGGGAAAUGAAGCCAGGCAGCUGCCAGCCGGCCUCCUAACUCCUCCUUCCUCUCCGUCCUAGGAGCAUACCGGUACUCCAACUUUAAGCGCAGCUUGAGUGAAAGGUAUUCAUAAGCCCAAAAAGUUUGGUGAAGAAAACGGUACAGCAAGAACAUACCUUCCAGAGAAUGACUCUUGCAACCGUCAUGCACUUAAGUCUACUCUUCUUCCUUUGAGAUGCUCUAAAAUUGUAUGAACUUCAGACUCUACAAAACUUGGAUUCAUACCUGCAUAGUGUCUGAACAUAUAGUGUCUGGAGUUAGACUGUUCAGCUUCAAAUCUCAGG